GAUGAAGAACGUAGCAAAAUGCGAUAAGUAAUGCGAAUUGCAGAAUUUCCGUGAGUCAUCGAAUCUUUGAACGCACAUUGCGCCCACUGGUAUUCCGGUGGGCAUGCCUGUUCGAGCGUCAUUAUCCUCCCUCAAACCUCGGGUUUGGUGUUGGACCCAAGUUGUGUGAACAACUGGUCUUAAAGACAAUGACGGCGUCCGUGGGACCCUCGGUGCAACGAGCUUUUAGGAGCACGCGUCGAGUUUCAAGGACCUUCCGGGCCGGUCUCCUUUACCAUUUUACAAGGUUGACCUCGGAUCAGGUAGGAAUACCCGCUGAACUUAAGCAUAUCAAUAAGCGGAGGA
Molecule: unclassified non-coding RNA, 345 nt
Filed under: soil metagenome
Description: partial contains 5.8S ribosomal RNA, internal transcribed spacer 2, and large subunit ribosomal RNA
Rfam family: 5.8S ribosomal RNA (bases 1-121)
Source: RNAcentral